RNAcentral lists this ribosomal RNA (301 nucleotides) under uncultured bacterium. RNAcentral's name for it is "partial 16S ribosomal RNA". It matches the Rfam family "Bacterial small subunit ribosomal RNA", at positions 509 to 809 of the family's 1533-position model. The record is from RNAcentral.
CAGUAGCCGCGGUAAUACAGAGGGUGCGAGCGUUAAUCGGAUUUACUGGGCGUAAAGCGUGCGUAGGCGGCUUCUUAAGUCGGAUGUGAAAUCCCUGAGCUUAACUUAGGAAUUGCAUUCGAUACUGGGAAGCUAGAGUAUGGGAGAGGAUGGUAGAAUUCCAGGUGUAGCGGUGAAAUGCGUAGAGAUCUGGAGGAAUACCGAUGGCGAAGGCAGCCAUCUGGCCUAAUACUGACGCUGAGGUACGAAAGCAUGGGGAGCAAACAGGAUUAGAGACCCCUGUAGUCCCUGUCUCUUAUAA